UCCUGGCUCAGGAUGAACGCUAGCUACAGGCUUAACACAUGCAAGUCGAGGGGCAGCAUGGACCCAGCUUUGCUGGGUUUGAUGGCGACCGGCGCACGGGUGAGUAACGCGUAUCCAACCUGCCCUUUACUCCGGGAUAGUCUCCUGAAAGGGAGUUUAAUACCGGAUGUGUUUGUCUUUCCGCAUGGGAGCGACAAAUAAAGAUUAAUUGGUAAAGGAUGGGGAUGCGUCCCAUUAGCUUGUUGGCAGGGUAACGGCCUACCAAGUCUGCGAUCCAUAGCCGAACUGAGAGGUUGAACGGCCACAUUGGAACUGAGAAACGGUCCAGACUCCUACGGGAGGCAGCAGUGGGGAAUAUUGGGCAAUGGGCGAAAGCCUGACCCAGCGACGCCGCGUGAGGGAAGAAGGUCUUCGGACUGUAAACUCCUGUUGUUGAGGAAGAUAAUGACGGUACUCAACAAGGAAGUGACGGCUAACUACGUGCCAGCAGCCGCGGUAAAACGUAGGUCACAAGCGUUGUCCGGAAUUACUGGGUGUAAAGGGAGCGCAGGCGGGCGAUCAAGUUGGAAGUGAAAUCCAUGGGCUCAACCCAUGAACUGCUUUCAAAACUGAUUGUCUUGAGUAGUGCAGAGGUAGGCGGAAUUCCCGGUGUAGCGGUGGAAUGCGUAGAUAUCGGGAGGAACACCAGUGGCGAAGGCGGCCUACUGGGCACCAACUGACGCUGAGGCUCGAAAGUGUGGGUAGCAAACAGGAUUAGAUACCCUGGUAGUCCACACCGUAAACGAUGAUUACUAGGUGUUGGAGGAUUGACCCCUUCAGUGCCGCAGUUAACACAAUAAGUAAUCCACCUGGGGAGUACGACCGCAAGGUCGAAACUCAAAGGAAUUGACGGGGGCCCGCACAAGCAGUGGAGUAUGUGGUUUAAUUCGACGCAACGCGAAGAACCUUACCAAGUCUUGACAUCCUGCGACGAUGCUAGAAAUAGUAUUUUCCUUCGGGACGCAGAGACAGGUGGUGCAUGGUUGUCGUCAGCUCGUGUCGUGAGAUGUUGGGUUAAGUCCCGCAACGAGCGCAACCCUUAUGGUCAGUUACUACGCAAGAGGACUCUGGCCAGACUGCCGUUGACAAAACGGAGGAAGGUGGGGAUGACGUCAAAUCAUCAUGCCCUUUAUGACUUGGGCUACACACGUACUACAAUGGCGUUAAACAAAGAGAAGCAAGACCGCGAGGUGGAGCAAAACUCAGAAACAACGUCCCAGUUCGGACUGCAGGCUGCAACUCGCCUGCACGAAGUCGGAAUUGCUAGUAAUCGUGGAUCAGCAAGCCACGGUGAAUACGUUCCCGGGCCUUGUACACACCGCCCGUCACACCAUGAGAGCCGGGGGGACCCGAAGUCGGUAGUCUAACCGCAAGGAGGACGCCGCCGAAGGUAAAACUGGUGAUUGGGGUGAAGUCGUAACAAGGUA
RNAcentral lists this ribosomal RNA (1466 nucleotides) under metagenome. RNAcentral describes it as "bacterial SSU rRNA". It matches the Rfam family "Bacterial small subunit ribosomal RNA". The record is from RNAcentral.